CAUGCAAGUCGAACGCAGUAGCAAUACUGAGUGGCAAACGGGUGAGUAUAAUGUGGGUAUCUGCCUUUUGGUUUGGAAUAACACGAGGAAACUUGUGCUAAUACCGAAUAAGCCCUCACGGGGAAAGUUUUAACGCCGAAAGAUGAGCCCGCACUUGAUUAGCUAGUUGGUGAGGUAAAGGCUCACCAAGGCAACGAUCAAUAGCUGUUCUUAGAGGAAGACCAGCCACAUUGGGACUGAGACACGGCCCAGACUCCUACGGGAGGCAGCAGUAAGGAAUCUUGCACAAUGGGGGAAACCCUGAUGCAGCGAUGCCGCGUGAGUGAAGAAGGCCCUUGGGUUGUAAAACUCUUUCGUCGGGGAAGAAAAUGACUGUACCCGAAUAAGAAGGUCCGGCUAACUUCGUGCCAGCAGCCGCGGUAAUACGAAGGGACCUAGCGUAGUUCGGAAUUACUGGGCUUAAAGAGCUCGUAGGUGGUUAAAAAAGUUGAUUGUGAAAUCCCAAGGCUCAACCUUGGAACUGCAAUCAAAACUUUUUAGCUUGAGUGUGAUAGAGGAAAGUGGAAUUUCUAGUGUAGAGGUGAAAUUCGUAGAUAUUAG
RNAcentral lists this ribosomal RNA (600 nucleotides) under uncultured Alphaproteobacteria bacterium. RNAcentral describes it as "bacterial SSU rRNA". It matches the Rfam family "Bacterial small subunit ribosomal RNA", at positions 54 to 700 of the family's 1533-position model. The record is from RNAcentral. Lineage: Bacteria; Pseudomonadati; Pseudomonadota; Alphaproteobacteria.